GGGGGUUUAGCUAAGUGGUAGAGCACUUGCCUAGCAAGCACAAGGCCCUGGGUUCGUUCCCCAGCUCCG
This 69-nucleotide transfer RNA is filed under the name Rattus norvegicus (Norway rat). It matches the Rfam family "tRNA". From Rfam's summary of the family: Transfer RNA (tRNA) molecules are approximately 80 nucleotides in length. Their secondary structure includes four short double-helical elements and three loops (D, anti-codon, and T loops). Lineage: Eukaryota; Metazoa; Chordata; Mammalia; Rodentia; Muridae. The record is from Rfam by way of RNAcentral.